GCUGCUGGCGGGCGUGCGGCGGGGGGAAUCGGUAGGGGGCGAGCGUGUGCCUGAAGGCUGGGGAGGAAAGGGCGGGGCGGCGGCCCGGUAAGUCCGCGGUGAAAGUCGGGGGCGCAACCCUCGGAUGCCGGUGGAUACGGUCGGGCUCGAGUACGGAAGAGGCGAGUGGAAUUCCUGGUGUAGCGGUGAAAUGCGCAGAUAUCAGGAGGAACACAGAUUGCGAAGGCAGCUCGCUGGGACGUUACUGACGCUGAGACGCGAAAGCGUGGGGAGCAAACAGGAUUAGAUACCCCGGUAGUC
Molecule: ribosomal RNA, 300 nt
Filed under: uncultured Alkalibacterium sp.
Lineage: Bacteria; Bacillati; Bacillota; Bacilli; Lactobacillales; Carnobacteriaceae
Description: bacterial SSU rRNA
Rfam family: Bacterial small subunit ribosomal RNA (bases 67-300)
Source: RNAcentral